UUCAUAUCCGGCAACGGUUGUUACUCGUACAUUGGACGAACCAGCCGGGUCCCACAAGAUAUAUCACCAUGCGACCAUUAUCCAAUGGCUCUCCAUGAGAUUAUCCACGCAAUGGGAGGAUAUCACGAACAGGGGCACUACAACAGAGACCAGAACAUCCAUCUCAAG
Haliotis rufescens (red abalone) is the source of this 168-nucleotide long non-coding RNA. RefSeq lists it as uncharacterized. The transcript is spliced from 3 exons. Lineage: Eukaryota; Metazoa; Mollusca; Gastropoda; Lepetellida; Haliotidae. The record is from RefSeq and is a predicted model, not a curated record.